CUGACAGGACAGGAGAGGAUCAAGUGGCAGCGUAUUCUGACAGUCCUGAGCCUUACUAUGAUGAAAGUGAAGAAGUCAUAAAGAAGAAACUCACUAAACAAAUGGUCCAAACUAGUCAUGGUACACAAAACGAACUUGAUUUGAAGAAAACCAAAAAAAAAACAAAUUAUAAGAUGGCAGCAACACUGACAGGAAACCAGCAGGAUGAUAGAGACGAAGAAACAGGACUAGAAAACUUUCAGAGUUACAGAAAUAAAGGGUCAAAGGGCGAUGAGGUCAGGAGACAAGGUUCAAAUCAGGCUGCAUUUGAGCACAAAACCACAAAAGUAGAUAUCAGGGAGUUUUCUCCUGGUGGUAAAGGUAAAACAUUAAUGAUAAAAACAAUUACUGAGGAAAUCACAACUGUUAACAACAGCAACAACAGAAAAUCAAUAAACAAUGAAGGAAAUGUUGACUGUGACUUGGAGGAUGGUGUAUCAGUUUCUGCAAAAGAAAAGAUGACAAUCCUCUCUGAACCUCUUUUACGUGACCAACAAAAUCCCACAUCGAAGGAAAUCACCAGAGGAGCAAAAGAAGACGAAUACAGGAUGAACAUUUCCCCUGAGACUGAUCUGGAAGCACAACAAGCAAGACAUGAUAAGAAGAAACGUUCAUGAUAUGAAAAACGCAAAUCAGGAAUCAAAUGAAAAGACAUCAAAUGUGUUUUAAUAGCAGUCAUUGUUUGCUGCUCCUUAAGUUUUCCUGAAGGCCUUUAUAAGUCUGGAGACAAGAAAUUACAAAGAGAUACAGUGAAAGGUUGUUGUUGUUUUUUUGUUUUUUUUUUACAAAGCUUGUAAAUAAUAUCAGCUAAAUUUAAUGUUUUUCAUAAAUUCUCUUUGGCUUGUUUGUUUUAUCUGUCAAUGUUAACAUUUGUGCUCUUUUUCUAUUUUAACUUUGAUUUCUAGUAUUGUGUUCUGCAAUAAAUUGUGUAAAAAAAAACCUAACA
Molecule: long non-coding RNA, 985 nt
Organism: Gambusia affinis (western mosquitofish)
Lineage: Eukaryota; Metazoa; Chordata; Actinopteri; Cyprinodontiformes; Poeciliidae
Exons: 2
Source: RefSeq, a predicted model, not a curated record